UCCUCUUGACCUGGUGCAAACAUUACUAGACGAACUUCCAGUGGAAGAUCCAGAAAUUCAUUUCUACAUGGUGGUCCAUUCUGCAGACUCCAACUGUGUGAGAUGUCUAUGGGGGUUUGCACUGCCUCCUAAUCAACUGAGGAACUGUGGCCUUGAGAAUCUCCUUUUGUCCUGCUGAUCCUGGUACAAACUGACAGUAAAGUAUCCAGCACAUGGGCAACACAUACUCAUACUUUCUUUGGUAUCUUCAUUUCCAGAAUGCAGUUGAGUGAGAUGUUCUUUAGAAGACUUUUAUGUGGCCAUAAUCACCCCAG
Molecule: long non-coding RNA, 314 nt
Organism: Condylura cristata (star-nosed mole)
Lineage: Eukaryota; Metazoa; Chordata; Mammalia; Eulipotyphla; Talpidae
Exons: 4
Source: RefSeq, a predicted model, not a curated record